This 2290-nucleotide long non-coding RNA is filed under the name Lathyrus oleraceus (garden pea). Its description in RNAcentral is "Pisum sativum (pea) long non-coding RNA (PSAT_LNC036105)". The record is from RNAcentral. Lineage: Eukaryota; Viridiplantae; Streptophyta; Magnoliopsida; Fabales; Fabaceae.
CUAAGUCCAAACAGUUUGAAGCUAUAUUGGUAGUAGUGGAUAGAUUAUCUAAAUAUGCACACUUUAUACCCCUGAAACAUCCCUAUACAGCCCGAAGUAUAGCAGAAAUUUUUUGCAAGGAAAUAAUCAAAUUACAUGGCCUUCCUUUAUCAAUAGUAAGUGACAGGGACCCUAUCUUCAUGAGUAACUUCUGGAAGGAAAUAUUCAAGUUGCAAGGAACCAAACUCAAGAUGAGUACAGCCUAUCAUCCAAAAUCUGAUGGCCAAACAGAAGUGGUAAACAGAUGUCUGGAAACUUAUCUGAGAUGUUUUGUAGCUGAUCAACCAAGGACUUGGGUGACGUGGAUUCAUUGGGCUGAGUACUGGUAUAACACUACUUACCAUGCCUCAACAGGUAAGACACCAUUUGAGGUGGUGUAUGAAAGACUUCCACCUCGGCUGACAAGAUGGGUGCAAGGAGAAACUAGAGUGGCCAGUGUGCAGCGGGACUUGAUGGACAGAGAUGAAGCUCUGAAACAAUUAAAAAUUCAGUUAGUGAAGGCACAAGAGAGAAUGAAGAGUCAGGCAGACAAGAAGAGAAGUGACAGAAGUUUUAUGUGUGGGGAAUGGGUGUUUGUCAAGCUUAGAGCCCACCGGUAGCAAUCUGUAGUUACCAGAAUUAAUGCUAAAUUAGCUGCCAAGUAUUAUGGCCCUUACCCAAUAAUAGAAAGAAUAGGAGCAGUGGCUUACAAACUCAAAUUACCUGAAGGAUCUAGGGUGCACCCUGUUUUCCAUGUUUCCUUAUUGAAGAAGGCAGUGGGAAAUUACCAAGAAGACACAGAACUCCCAGACCUGUUGGAAGAACACGUAGAGGUUUAUGAACCUGAAGCUGUACUUGCUACCCGGAAGGUGAAGCAGCAUGGGGAAGAGGUGAAACAGUUACUAAUUCAUUGGAAGGGCAAGACUAUGGAGGAAGCUACUUGGGAGGAGGAAUUAAUGAUUAGAAGUCAGUUUCCGAAAUUUGACCUUGAGGACAAGGUCCAUUUUGAUGGAGGAGGUAUUGAUAGAACCCAAACAAAUGAGGAAGCACCACAUCAGCAAUUAAUUCACUCAGCAACUAGUGGGGCCAAGCCGUUAUUGGUUUAUUCUAGAAGAAAGGGCAGAUUGGGAAAUAGUGGCUAAGGUUGUUAGAAAUGAGGUGACGUUGGGAGAGAGCAUCACAACAUUUCCUUUCCUAGUUAUAAGGAGUGAGAGAGGGAAUGGAGGGGCAUCUUUGCAUUCUGUCUGUUAGUGCAGUGAGGGUAGAGAGUACUGACUCUCUAUUGAUUACAGAUCUAGGGAUCUGUAAUUCAUUCUUCUGUACCUUGCUCCUUUACACAACCAUAUAAUAAAGCUCUUUCUCUUAAAUACUGUUAUUAUUAUUACUAUUCUAUUGUGUACUGCGUUGGUACGUAACAAUUUACGACAUUCAGAAAUUUCCUGUUGAAUUUUGUAGAUUUUGGAGUCGUCUCCUUGAGAGAAUUUGUCAUGUAGACCAUUUCAAAUUUUCGCUGCCGUAUCUGAGAAGAUUACGCUGCGAGUUAUGUCUGGUUCAAUAGAGUGAAGGAUCCAUGUUAAAACCAAAUUGUUGCAACACUGCCACAAAGGGAAUCUCGGAUCAGCUGUCGAUGGCGCUUUCACGAUUUUGUCGAUUAAGCUGAGUUUGUUCUUAGCAUUGAGGCUGAGGCGCAUUGAGCAACUCCAUUCACCGUAGUUACGUCCAUUCAAAGGUAUUUUAACUAGCCUGAUUACUGGUGUGUUAGAAUGGUGCAGGAUCAAAGGAUCAUGCAAUGAUGUUUGCAUCCCCUUUGUAGCCUUUUUUUGUCUCUUCUGAUUUCUCUAGUAUUUCAACCAUACCAUUGUUGUUGUCACCUAUUUGGUAUUCUGAUUUUUAUUUUAUUGCGGAAGGGUUUAGGUUGGGUAGGCACCUUAAUCGUGCUCUGAUACCAUAAACAAAUAUAUAGAAAGGUAAUUUGUACAAACGGCUUGUUAUAUAGACAUAGUUGAGGACAAUGCUCAAUCGUAAUGAACUAUCUGAGAGAUACAAUUAUAAUAAUAAUAUUAUAAUUUUAUAUUUAUAAAUGAAAAUUGUNNNNNNNNNNNNNNNNNNNNNNNNNNNNNNNNNNNNNNNNGUUAGUGCAAGUGAGGGUAGACAGUACUGACUCUACUCUCUAUUGAUUACAGAUCUAGGGAUCUGUAAUUCAUUCUUCUGUACCUUGCUCCUUUACACAACCAUAUAAUAAAGCUCUUUCUCUUAAAUACUGUUAUUAUUA